GGAGACACACGGCAGAGAGAGAAGACGCCGUGUGCACUGAAUUCACUCACAAGGAAGAGAAGUGAGAGGAAAAGGCUCCAGGCAAUCAAGACACAGAAAUGCAAUAAGACAGUAAAAUCCAACAGGUCACACCAUCAGGACCAUGUGCUCAGGAGGAACACAUUCAGAUGUGCAAUGUCCUAUUUUUCCUACACAAGUCAGGAGCAUCUUGCAUCAAGUCCCGGAGAAAGAUGAGAACAAAGCAGACACAGCACUUGGAUCACUGCACCGUUGGCCUGGGACAGGUGCCAAGCAGUCGCCUGUCCCAGCACAGCCAGCUCGCUGGCCUGCUCCCAGAACAAAGUCAGGUACACAUGGAAAUAUUUGCAGGACAUAGUGGGAAUGCUGAGCACUUUACUGCACUAUAGACCUUGUCUUUUAUAAACAUAUUCAAUUAUGUUGCACUGGGGAGGCAAAGACAAAGUCUGCACCCAAGAAGAAAACCCAUAUGGCUGAACAUCUGUAACCUGAACUUCUUUUGUUCUCCCAGACAAAAAUAAAACAUCUAAAACAGGUUAACCACCCAAAAGGGUUAAAGCUAUGACCUUAUGAAUUAAAUUGAAUCAAGAGAGAGGAAAUGUAAGCAGCAAAAGGUACAGAAUGUAUUGAGGAACAAAAGUUUUGAAGAAGAAAAAUAAAUUUUGGAAGUAUUACAGCAAAUUUUUCAUGCAAAGCAAUGCAAUAAAAACAAGUAAAGGAAGUCAGAUCCAAAAAGAGAUCAUGUUAAACUGAGGGGAAAAAUUAUGAAGAAGUCAUUUCUGUCUAACAAAAUGUUUUGUCACAUAGAAGCAGGCACUAAAACUUAGAUAAAAGUACAGGAAUCCAUGGCUUUGUAUACUCAUAUAGUCCCUCCUCAGGAACACAAUAAUUGCUGGAUUGUUCAUUGUAUGGUCCCCUCUGCAAGAACAAGCAUGAAAAUUAUUUUUGGAGGAUUUGGGACCAGAAACCCCACUGUACAAAAAGCAAGGUAACUCAGUGACACCAGAUUAAGUGGAAGAAUAGUGAAUAUGCACCUUUACAUUGAUCUCAGUACAAAAUACUCUUCCAAAGGCCAUAUAAAAAAUUACAGGUCAAAAUAACUCUGACAUAGCAAAGACAUCCCAAGUGGUAUAUUUUUCUAUGAAAACAUAAAAUUACUAAGUUUGAAACCCAGAGUUAUACUGGAAAAGAACUGUCUUUCCUCCUUCUCCACACAGUAACAUGUGUAGAAUAACUCUUGGUUAAAAGAGUUGGUUCCUUGGUUAAAAACUGCCAAGUUUCCUCAGACAGCUGCAAUCAUGCUGCCCCAGCAGGGCUGGCUGUGCCUGCUCCUGCCCUUGCUGUGUCCAGCAUUUUGGGUAUUGUACCAAUUGCACUGCUAAGGGCACUGACACAACUCCAAUGAAGCCAGUUGAAAGCAUGUCAGGUCACUUUAUACACCAUGCUAUCUCACAAGCUCAGGAGAUUCUGUCCAACAUAGUGAUUUAUUCUGAAAUAAACUUCUUAGCCUGUUCACACUCCAUUAGCUUAUGCUGCUAAUAUGUACAGAGACAAGUUAGAAGGGAAAAAGAGUAGUGGAAGUCAAUGCAAAAAUAUGUAAGAAGCAAGAGGAUAAGUCUGUAAAAAACAGGCCCAAGGAAUAAGAACAUUGAUGUUGAAAACAAUGACAGGUAUGCAAAAAUAAAUUUUGCUUACAAAAUCUAAGUGGUCAAAUGCUAAUCUAAGAUAUGUGCACAUGCUUUCCACUGAAUUCUGUAAUAGUCCAUACAUAUACCUGAAUGUGAAACAUAAAAAUGGCAAAGUUCUUUCUGCUACUGGAUGUACUUGAACUUCAUCAGGGAUAUCCAAACUUCCAUUCUGGUACAUUCCUGUAUGGCUUGGGAAAGACCACAUAUAAUGUUCCUGAAAGACAAAUACAUGGCUGAAGGAAGUGUAAAGUCUUUCAGGAGAGCUUGUAAAAAAUUAAUGAAUUGAUGUUUACCUAACACUGUGAAAACAUAAAAUGACUUAGAACUUCAUAGUGUUGAACAUUAAAACCAAUUCCUGCCAAUAAAGUUUCCUCAGUCCUACUCUCCUGUGCAGAAUCCCUGCUCUGUAAAGGCUCAUUUCUGGUUUUAUUUUCACAGACUGAAACCUGUCAGUGCUGUGCAAAUUUUGCUAACACUAUUCUCAGAGCAAACUACAGUAGGUCCCAAGGCAGGUAACUCAGAAUAUUGUUUCCAACUUGAGAGAACAAAUUGAAAGAGCAGUAUUUACAUUCUGUCACCAGCUUACUCACAGACUGUCUUGUGUAAACAUGAUCAGAUUACAACAACGUGAUGCAAAUUUAAAACCAAGGAUCCAAUCAUUUAACAGCUCCCCUUCAUUGCUCUGACCACACUUGCAGCAACACGCAAGCAAAGGCUGCCAGACUAAGGCUGAACCAACAAUUUGCUGCCAGGAGCUGGUCUAGUGAGAGAAGAGGUUAUAACAAGAGAUUAUAUUUGCUUCCUAAAGUCAUGAGGGUGUCCUUGAAAACACAUAGAGAGUCAUGUCACAGAUGUGGAGAUGACAGCCUUAUUAUUAAGUGCAGUACAGCAUGACAAAUUAUUGACCUACUUCUUAAAGAAACUUCUCUCACGGCAAUGACUUAUCCUCAUCCUUCAACACACCCUUCCAGUAUCCAAAAGUAUAAGAUACAAUCAGCAUUUCCAGCUGGACUUAAUAGUCUGAAAGGUCUUUUACAACCUAAAUUCUAUGAUUCUAUAAGGGAGUGCAGAUUUUUCCAUUAUUUGAAAUGAAAACACAAAAUGGAAAGGAUGUGUUUAUUUCACUACCACUUCAGAUUAAGUGUGAAAAGAAAGUGAUUCAGGAUAUGAAAUCAAGUCGUGGAAGCAGAGCAGAAGAACAUACAGCAGGUUUACCAUGGGCAACAAGAAGAAGAAAAAUUUUCAAGCAUUUGCAGAUGGUCAAGAACUAGACAAUCGUUGGCAAUUCCCACCUGAAGCACUAUGGGGAGAGAUGGUCAGCUAGCACCUUUUGGGCCAUGUGGCACAUGAGUGAUUCAAGUGGGGUUCCCACUCUGCAGGAGUCCCCAGUACAGGAGCUUCUAGAUCACCUGGAUCUCUGGCUGCAGGAGAAAGAGUGUCUGCACUGCCAGACUGCCAUGAGGGCCAGCAAUCCAGAAUGGGGAAGUGGGUACCACAGGAGGCACCUCUAGCUGCUAAUCACUUUUUCAACUCUUUCACUUCUGAGGCUUUUCAUACAGGGUCAGAAGUUGGUGCCUUUGGUGUGACCCUGUCUAGCCUCUCUGUAGCACCAGAGCUGCCUCCUUAGCCCAGGAAAUGCUAUGACCUCUCACCACACCAAGCUGUCAUGGCUGGGCAGCAGCAUCUUAACUCAGUUCUGGUAUUAUGGAAGAAAAUAACUACUUCUAAAUGCAGCCCAGUUUGACCAUUAGUGAAUCCCUCCCUGUGCAGACUGAGAGCUCCAUACAAACUCACAACAACCUCUGCCAAAGCACAUGCCAAUGAAAACAGCCACAUGUGGAUGGGGCUUGAUUGCUUUCUCGGUAUUAAAAUAAUGCAAGAAAGUUGAUCUGUAGAAAAAAAAAAAAGGGGCUUUUAUCCUUUUAGCAGGAUGUAUAAUCAGUGGCUAUCAGGAAUGCAGAUAAGUAAGUCUUCAGCUAACUUAGAUUCAACUGAUUUUUUUUUCCAUUAAGAUUUCAUCAAUUUUAUCAUCUGGUUAUUAAAUGCACAUUUUUGUCUUAAACCUAUUUUGAAGCAAUUAUAUGUUUAUGCUGGUAUAGAAUGCUCCUUUUAUGCUCCCAGCUAAAUUGUUGGGUAUUUCUAUGCUGUUUGUAAUUUGGUAUUCUAAAGUAGUAAUUCUGAAAGUAAAACAAAUGCACUUCCUGG
Passer domesticus (house sparrow) is the source of this 3911-nucleotide long non-coding RNA. RefSeq lists it as uncharacterized. The transcript is spliced from 2 exons. The record is from RefSeq and is a predicted model, not a curated record. Lineage: Eukaryota; Metazoa; Chordata; Aves; Passeriformes; Passeridae.